GAAUACGACCAUCCCACCCCGAGAACGCCUGAUCUCGUCUGAUCUCAGAAGGUAAGCAGGGUUGGACCCAGUUAGUACUUGGAUGGGAGACCACCUGGGAAUACUGGGUGCUGUAGGCU
RNAcentral lists this ribosomal RNA (119 nucleotides) under Apaloderma vittatum (bar-tailed trogon). The record is from RNAcentral. Lineage: Eukaryota; Metazoa; Chordata; Aves; Trogoniformes; Trogonidae.